AUGAACGCUGGCGGCGUGCCUAAUACAUGCAAGUCGAGCGAACAGACGAGGAGCUUGCUCCUCUGACGUUAGCGGCGGACGGGUGAGUAACACGUGGAUAACCUACCUAUAAGACUGGGAUAACUUCGGGAAACCGGAGCUAAUACCGGAUAAUAUAUUGAACCGCAUGGUUCAAUAGUGAAAGACGGUUUUGCUGUCACUUAUAGAUGGAUCCGCGCCGCAUUAGCUAGUUGGUAAGGUAACGGCUUACCAAGGCAACGAUGCGUAGCCGACCUGAGAGGGUGAUCGGCCACACUGGAACUGAGACACGGUCCAGACUCCUACGGGAGGCAGCAGUAGGGAAUCUUCCGCAAUGGGCGAAAGCGUGACGGAGCAACGCCGCGUGAGUGAUGAAGGUCUUCGGAUCGUAAAACUCUGUUAUUAGGGAAGAACAAAUGUGUAAGUAACUAUGCACGUCUUGACGGUACCUAAUCAGAAAGCCACGGCUAACUACGUG
Molecule: ribosomal RNA, 496 nt
Filed under: uncultured bacterium
Lineage: Bacteria
Description: partial 16S ribosomal RNA
Rfam family: Bacterial small subunit ribosomal RNA
Source: RNAcentral